This 400-nucleotide ribosomal RNA is filed under the name uncultured bacterium. Its description in RNAcentral is "bacterial SSU rRNA". It matches the Rfam family "Bacterial small subunit ribosomal RNA", at positions 356 to 773 of the family's 1533-position model. The record is from RNAcentral.
GGGGAAUAUUGCACAAUGGGCGAAAGCCUGAUGCAGCAACGCCGCGUGAGCGAUGAAGGCCUUCGGGUCGUAAAGCUCUGUCCUCAAGGAAGAAUUUUGACGGUACUUGAGGAGGAAGCCCCGGCUAACUACGUGCCAGCAGCCGCGGUAAUACGUAGGGGGCUAGCGUUAUCCGGAAUUACUGGGCGUAAAGGGUGCGUAGGUGGUCUGACAAGUCAGGGGUGAAAGGCUACGGCUCAACCGUAGUAAGCCCUUGAAACUGUCGGACUUGAGUGCAGGAGAGGAAAGUGGAAUUCCCAGUGUAGCGGUGAAAUGCGUAGAUAUUGGGAGGAACAUCAGUGGCGAAGGCGACUUUCUGGACUGUAACUGACACUGAGGCACGAAAGCGUGGGGAGCAAAC